RNAcentral lists this ribosomal RNA (253 nucleotides) under uncultured bacterium. RNAcentral describes it as "partial 16S ribosomal RNA". It matches the Rfam family "Bacterial small subunit ribosomal RNA", at positions 524 to 776 of the family's 1533-position model. The record is from RNAcentral.
UACGUAGGGGGCGAGCGUUGUCCGGAAUUAUUGGGCGUAAAGAGCGUGUAGGCGGCUCGAUAAGUCUGCUGUGAAAGUCCAGGGCUCAACCCUGGAAGGCCGGUGGAAACUGUCGGGCUAGAGUCCGGAAGAGGCGAGUGGAAUUCCCGGUGUAGCGGUGAAAUGCGCAGAUAUCGGGAGUAACACCAAUGGCGAAGGCAGCUCGCUGGGACGGUACUGACGCUGAGACGCGAAAGCGUGGGGAGCAAACAGG